Non-coding RNA from Ictidomys tridecemlineatus (thirteen-lined ground squirrel), 3204 nucleotides. The record is from RefSeq and is a predicted model, not a curated record. NCBI's taxonomy places the organism in Eukaryota, Metazoa, Chordata, Mammalia, Rodentia, Sciuridae.
AUUAUGUGGCUUGUGUUCUGACCCAAAGCUAAAGACCCAUUUGCUUUCAGCACUGAGGAGCUGGCAGGCUCUGACUGCCAUCCCCUGCCCUUGCCAGAAGAGAGGGCCCCAUCUAUCACCUGGUGGGAGCUCUUGAAACCUACAAGUGGGAAGGGGGCAGCUCCAUCUCCACUCCCUCACAGGCAAGGGCAGCUAGUGGGUGACCUGGAGAAAGGCAAAAAAGCUCCUCACAGGGGCAAAUGGACUCUGUGCCCGCCACCCUGUGCCUAGAGGGAAGCACUGGAAGCAUCAAGGACGGUCACUGCCUACGCACAUGGCUCCCAAGCCCAGGGCCAGGCUGUGGCUGGCGGCUGGGAAGACAGAGAGCCCAUCUCACUGCAGAGGACGACCUUAGGGAGUCAGGUCCCAUGACUAGAGAAGUGAAGCAUCCACAAAAUGCCAGUGGCCACCUGCUGAGAAAUGAAGGGACAGGGAUCAUCCACUGGGGAGCCAGGGGAGAGGGGCACCUGCUAGGGAGCCAGGGUCAGGGGGACACCAGCGGUGGAGCCACACAGGGGAAAACCCAGGCCUGUGAGGAAGAGCAAAUGCAUCUGCUCUCGAGGUCCACAGUGGACACUGCCACGAGAGACUGACUUCCUGAGCUCAGGGAGGGGGCAGAGGACGGUCACCUGUCUGCAACAGACAGCAGACUCACUCUUGAUAUACCAGGAGCAGGUGACCAGCCCACAGCCACAGCCAGAGAGAACUGGGUGUGCCUGGCAGGAUUCACAGAGCCACCGCGGGCUCCGGGUGGGAUCCAUGACAGCUGAUGCACAGGGCUGUGUGACACCUUGUGUGACACCUCUAGCUCGUGGGCUUCAUCUCUCCUGCAGCCUCCACCCAUGACACCUGGAGAACCACCCUAGAAACCGUGACGCACAGUGUGGCGACACACAGGACAAGGCCGAGAGCGAGGUGGGCUGCAGACCUUCCCAUGCUGGGAGCCAUGCUGCCCUGCCCUCCUACAGGGACCACAGAAGACAGAAACGCCUCAGUGAGAAAUACCAAGGCCAACUGGAAAAUGACGCAGGAGCGGUUAGUGGGCGUGAGCUAGGAAUUAACAAGCACUGGUGCUGAGGCAGAAGCAAAGGGCCGCCCUUUCUAACAACAUAAAUAUCAGAUUAACUCUGGAAAUACAGUUCUGGAAUCUUGGCAUGAGACUUGUCUUGGCUGGUGGCAGUCAGUGGUGUGGCUCAAGCCAGGCUGGAGCUGAGCUUCUGCAGUUUGGCCCUGGAGCUGCCCUCCGCUCACCACCAGGAGAGGGGCAGGUUCUGAGGGACUGCUGGCCACCCUGCAGCCUGCGGUCACACCCAGCCUGGAUCCACUCAAAGUUAGUGCAUCUGCAAACCAACACCACGUGUGCCAGUUAGAACGAGAAUGCACGCUGGACGUCAGGAGAGGUGGUUGUCUCUCAGCCUUACUGUAUUAACAGCUGGGUGUUUGGGGCCAAAUUGUGUCCCGGAGACCCAUCUGUUGAGGCACUAGCCCCCAGAACCUCAGAACUCAACUGUGCUUGAAUUCCGGCUCUUUUAUGAUCCAGUGCAGUGUUAGAGUCCAAGGCCUGGUGCAUGCUGGGUAGGCACUGUGCCCCAGAGCUGUACCCCUGCCCUUAGGCAGGGCCUUUUCAGAGGUGAAGCCGUUAGACUGAGGCUUGGAGGGUGGGUGGGCCUUCACCCAAUCUGCCUGGAGUCCUAAGUGAGGAGGGACCAGGACACAUGGAGGCCCCAGAGAGACCCCAGGGAUGCACAUGACCUUUCACAGAAAAGAAAGCCAAGCCAGUCCCUGCCUCACAGAGCCUCUGUGGCCCCUCUGCAAGGACGCAGAGAGAAGGCGCCAUCUGUUGCAGGUUAAGAAGACAGAGCAGAACCAGCCAGCCCUGCCUCUGCUUCAACCUGGACCUCCAGAGCUGCAGGGGAACAAGUCUUGUUGCUUUAAGCCCCCAGUCUCCAUAUUUUGUUACAGCAGCCCCUGAAGACUAACGCACUGACCAUGUAACUUCUGUUCUCCUAAACCCCUGCCUUUUCUAAGCUGGUCUGAGGCAAGGCUGAGCAGCCCCAUCUCUUCAUCAUCUCUCAGGCAGGAACAAAGCGCAGAGCUCAGACCUCAGGUCUCAACUCAGGAGAAGAACCACAGGUCCUGAGAAUUCCACAGUCCAUCAUUUUUAGGGAACAGGUGAUCUGGGCCAGGCUGCUCUCAGGUCCUCCUCCAGGACUUACGCCAAGCUGGGACCAGGAUGCCUGUGGUCACAGACACAACCCACCCUCCACUUCCCCAGAGACUUCCUGAACCCACAACCCUGAGGCUCUCCACUGGCCCCACCGUGGGAAUGCUUGUCUUCCGGCAAAAGGGCCUCUGGUAGCUGAUGGAGCUGGAGAGAGUGCCACAGAGGGCCUGCAGGGGCCUGCAGUUGUGCUGGUCGCCAAGCCAGUCCCUGCCUCCCAGAGCCUCUGUGGCCCCUCUGCAAACUGCGAUGAGGGCAGUGUGUUCUGCUGCCUGUGGCUGUGGCUCAACACCUGCUCUGCUGCCCCCACCCUCCUGACAGCUGAGCAGCCCUCACAGAGCCUCUGCAGUGGGCCUGCGCCCUCCCCUGCUCAGCUGGCCACAAAGAGGACAGCCAGAGUGGCAUAGCUGCCACUCCUGCCCCUAAGCCCAGUGGCCAGUGCUCCCUACACGCCUCCUGGAGGCCUCCCAGCAUGCGCCCCCAAGGGCCACGCUGCAGACCUGGCACUAGUGUCAGAGACAGAGCAUCUGUCAGAAGUGCUGAUUGUCAGAGCUGGCCAUCCUCAGUGAUGAGUCCAGAUUGCUCAUCAUGCAGCCGGGCUGCUGACACGGGUCGUUCCAGCGCACUUCCUUAUUCCAGACGAGGUGGCAGUGCCACAUCACCAAUCGAGGUUGCUUUAAGCAAAGUCGUUUUCCCGUAAGCUCUGCUGAUGGCCUUCCCAUUAUUGCCUUUCAGAGGAGAGAUUUAGGAGGGCAGAAAAGACUAUGAAAAAGGAUAUUAGGUUUAGAUUGACCAUAACAAAAUUAUUAUAAGAGUCGAGCUAUCUGGUUUAUACUGUAUCGUUAACUACACAUUCCCCAAUACGCUGCUCAGUCGACCAGCAAAGCAAGUGUUCAUUGUAGAUUUCAAUCUUGGUGAGCAAUAAACUCAGUGUUUUGCAUAAA